This 87-nucleotide transfer RNA is filed under the name Fidelibacterota bacterium. RNAcentral's name for it is "tRNA-Ser". It matches the Rfam family "tRNA". Rfam says of the family: Transfer RNA (tRNA) molecules are approximately 80 nucleotides in length. Their secondary structure includes four short double-helical elements and three loops (D, anti-codon, and T loops). Further hydrogen bonds mediate the characteristic L-shaped molecular structure. tRNAs have two regions of fundamental functional importance: the anti-codon, which is responsible for specific mRNA codon recognition, and the 3' end, to which the tRNAs corresponding amino acid is attached (by aminoacyl-tRNA synthetases). tRNAs cope with the degeneracy of the genetic code in two manners: having more than one tRNA (with a specific anti-codon) for a particular amino acid; and 'wobble' base-pairing, i.e. permitting non-standard base-pairing at the 3rd anti-codon position. The record is from RNAcentral. Lineage: Bacteria; Pseudomonadati; Fidelibacterota.
AGAGAGGUGUCCGAGUGGCUGAAGGUGCAUGCUUGGAAAGCAUGUUUGGAUGCAAAUCCAACGGGGGUUCGAAUCCCCCUCUCUCUG